GUUUUAAUAGUUUAUAAAAACGUUGGUCUUGUAAACCAAAAUUAAGAUUUAAUCUUUUAAAACU
RNAcentral lists this transfer RNA (64 nucleotides) under Tachycines shuangcha. RNAcentral's name for it is "tRNA-Thr". It matches the Rfam family "tRNA". From Rfam's summary of the family: Transfer RNA (tRNA) molecules are approximately 80 nucleotides in length. Their secondary structure includes four short double-helical elements and three loops (D, anti-codon, and T loops). The record is from RNAcentral. Lineage: Eukaryota; Metazoa; Arthropoda; Insecta; Orthoptera; Rhaphidophoridae.